GACGAACGCUGGCGGCGUGCUUAACACAUGCAAGUCGAACGGAAAGGCCCUGCUUUUGUGGGGUGCUCGAGUGGCGAAAGGGUGAGUAACACGUGAGUAACCUGCCCUUGACUUUGGGAUAACUUCAGGAAACUGGGGCUAAUACCGGAUAGGAGCUCCCGCUGCAUGGUGGGGGUUGGAAAGUUUCGGCGGUUGGGGAUGGACUCGCGGCUUAUCAGCUUGUUGGUGGGGUAGUGGCUUACCAAGGCUUUGACGGGUAGCCGGCCUGAGAGGGUGACCGGCCACAUUGGGACUGAGAUACGGCCCAGACUCCUACGGGAGGCAGCAGUGGGGAAUAUUGCACAAUGGGCGGAAGCCUGAUGCAGCAACGCCGCGUGCGGGAUGACGGCCUUCGGGUUGUAAACCGCUUUCGCCUGUGACGAAGCGUGAGUGACGGUAAUGGGUAAAGAAGCACCGGCUAACUACGUG
RNAcentral lists this ribosomal RNA (468 nucleotides) under uncultured bacterium. RNAcentral describes it as "partial 16S ribosomal RNA". It matches the Rfam family "Bacterial small subunit ribosomal RNA", at positions 28 to 507 of the family's 1533-position model. The record is from RNAcentral.